UCUCCAAGCUUGGCAACUUUAAGACUUGUGGGCUUCACCUCUCAGAUCAAAUAGGGCCAAAAACUAUUAACUAUUCAAUAAUUCAGUCCAGUUUUUUAAAGCUUAACACUGAUAACAGUUAGCAGUUCAACAGUGUAGAAUCUUUCAAGUGCCUUCAUUGCCAAAAUGUUGCCCGAAAUAAUGUUUGCACACAUGAGGAAAGCACCUGUGAUUCAGGAUUGUGGAAAUUCUGCUACACUCAACUGAUUAGCAAAAACUCUGUGAUGACACGUGUGAAACGUGGUUGUUCUCUGGUAUGCCGUAACUUGAAAAGGGGAGACAUCGACUAUGAAGAACGGAUGUUGUGCUGUGUGAGAGACCUCUGCAAUAGUCAUAACUUCUGGACAAAUGAGUAAAUGAAGGAAGGAAGAAAACCAGGGAUGUCCAACCUUGGCAACUUUAAGACUUGCAGACAUCAACACUCAGAAUUUCCCAGCCACCAUGAAUUUGGUGAGUUGAUGGGUCCAUGGGUCUUAAAGCUGCUAAGGUUGGAUACCCCUGAUGUAGACUCUGGGGUGAUUUAUGGGAAUAAUGGACUUAACUGGUUAUUUAUGGGUUGCAAGCAUGGAAAGGCUGAAUGCAUAAUUCAAUAUUGUACUAAUUUAAUGAUACCAGUUUGAAGCCCAUGGCUGCAGUUU
Notechis scutatus (mainland tiger snake) is the source of this 677-nucleotide non-coding RNA. The record is from RefSeq and is a predicted model, not a curated record. Lineage: Eukaryota; Metazoa; Chordata; Lepidosauria; Squamata; Elapidae.